Molecule: long non-coding RNA, 1868 nt
Organism: Paramormyrops kingsleyae
Lineage: Eukaryota; Metazoa; Chordata; Actinopteri; Osteoglossiformes; Mormyridae
Source: RefSeq, a predicted model, not a curated record
CACCUCUCGCCCGUGCGCCGGGCCUGGUUUCUGGACGCCGUGGACUAGAUUGUGUGAGCCAGCUAUUACAGAGAAAAGUCAUUUUCACCCAUUCUGUAUAUUUUAGAAUUCAAGACGUAUAAUCAGAAGUCAUAUUGGAAAAGCAUGUGAAGAUGUGCGAGCUCCGAGGACAGCCCAUAAAAUAAAAUGGGAAUGGCUUUUCCCUCCUAUAAUUCAAAGCACUUUUCCCUGCUGCAAGUGGAAAACUCAGUUUGUCAGGCAUAAUUAGUCUACAGCUAACGAUUCAGCGGACAGUGAAUUCCCACAACUAGCCUUGGUUAGUGGCAACACCAUACGAUAGAAAGGGAGAUCAGUGAGAGGAGAGCAAAGGCCCCACGACACCGCCCUGUCCCUGUCCCCGGCCAGCGGCUCUGUAAUCCAUGGCUGUGCCGGCUGCAUGUCAGUGAAAUCGGCUGUCGAUGCCCCCUCAGAAGCUGGGGCCAUGUGCAGCCGCCUGUACCACCGACCUCCCCUGCCCAUGAGCGAUGCAGUUUUGGUUUUGGCAAUGAUAAUAACUGUGCACGGCGUACACCGGGGGCCCGUCAGGCACACGCCCGUAGGAGUCUGGCAAGAGAUGCGGACACCGAUGGCAACACCUGGCGCGCCCUGCUCCGUCCGCGCGCUUUCCCAGCGCCACUAGAACACGCGCGCUCUACACCUCUGAUUGGAUGUCCCGCUGUCCGCAAUCAUCCAAUCAAGGGGCGCGCAGUUUGCCCGCGCUGCGUCAAUCAGAGGCACGUCGGCGCUCAAGCGGUGCGCAAGACGGCAAACAGGCUGUUGGCCUGGAUGCCGUUCUGUCUGACGGGCACUCCCGUAUGUUUUCGUUGUCCCGUUCCGCGGUUCCCGACUUUCUACGGUCGAGCGGAGAGUGAGAGAGACCGGUGAUGCGACUCGACAGGCAGAAGCCGUCGGAAGUGCAAUUAUAACGUCAGUCUGCCAGGUCGUAGCUAAAGUGCCGGGGAUUUUCCCCCCUUCAUUUUCUGUUCAAACUAACCCGUUAAGGUCCACGACACAGCCAUUCAAGCAGAGUCAAUUAACUGUGUGCUUUUGCUAAUCUUCCAGCUAUAAUUGGUGUAAUUGCUUUUUCAAGUACGUAUGACCUGGCACUUUGUGAGAUUAGCGGCAGAGCAGACAGAGGGAGAGAAAGGGAGAGAAUGGUGAGGACGAGGAAGUUCUAUUCAAGUCUAGUAUCCCUCCAGCCUUACUAAAGUAACCCAAGAAUAAGACAGACAAUAUUUUUCAGUACAGAUAGCGAACUGUACGGUUCAAAGAAAUAGUGCAAUUCGACCAAACGUAUGGGCUUUUUAAUGCUAACAUAAUCAAGGCUUUAAUAACGCACAAUAAUAGACAACAAAUCUUCCCCAUGCUGGAACAAUUGACUUCAUGUAAUGUGCCAUUAAUCACUCAAAGAGGUUUUUUUUCUCCAAUAACCAGCAUGCUAAUUACUAAUCUAAGAUAUAUCAUUUAUUAUAUGGGAAAAUCAAUUUUGUAAAUGCCAGGGUAUUGCUAAUUGUUACUAAUUCAGCGCUUCACAAAUGACUUCCUUGCAGCUAUCCCACAAAUUUGUGUGUGUGUGUUGGAAGUGAGUUGAGUUGCCGUGACUUUACCCCAUAUUUUCCAUAUUAAACUUUCUGCAUUCCAGACUGCAGUCAUUUCUAAUAAAGACUUUUUGUCAGACGCAACGGAUAAUUCAGUAAUUGAUGAAUACUUAAUGGCUUUUUAGUAAUUGUGGGAUAAUUUAUUAUUUUCCCUGUGGACCAAAUAAUGCUUUCCUUCAUUUCAUCUGUUGUCAUUGGUGAUAUAUUUGUGUGUGAAUAAUUUUAUACAUA